CUGGGAUUUAACUUGGUUAGCAGAACAAUUUAGAUAGCUUAGGGACCUAAAUUUGGAGCCAAGAUGUUAUGGAUAAGGAUACAAAAUAAAUAGUGGUCUAUGGUAUCUGCAGGCUUCACGAUAGGAGAAUUAAGAGCUAGGAGGAAAACGACAGGACAAUUUGUAUGGCUGGAGACUGUAAAUUAGCAACUUUUAUGAAGGGCAUUUUAUGAAGAAUGGAGUGGAUCAAGGAUAGCACUGGAGACUAAGUAAAGAGGUCAGAAGAGUCUGCAUUCGUGGGAGAUGAGGUGGGAAAACUGGAAAGAUUGAAUGUCCUUUGGAGUUCACAGAGGUUUGGCAGUGGGAGGAGAAAAACAAAACGAAGCAUAGUGGGAGUGUUGAACAGACUUUCCCAAGAUCCCCAGGGAAAUCAACAAAGAGUAUUGCUUCCUUGCAAAUUGGCAGGAAGGUUUCCAGCAUAAUAAAAGAGUGCAGAAAAAACAAGUUAAUUCAAGGAUAAAACUGUGAAUAAGUAGAAGAGAAGACUACACCAGGAAAAGAGACGGAGGUAGAGGCCCAAUGGAGUAAGUAAUUUUAGAAGAAAUUUAAUAUUGGAAGAAUAGAUGUUUUCCAGAAC
RNAcentral lists this long non-coding RNA (616 nucleotides) under Macaca fascicularis (crab-eating macaque). RNAcentral's name for it is "lncRNA (ENSMFAG00000047068.2)". The record is from RNAcentral. Lineage: Eukaryota; Metazoa; Chordata; Mammalia; Primates; Cercopithecidae.